Molecule: ribosomal RNA, 301 nt
Filed under: uncultured bacterium
Lineage: Bacteria
Description: partial 16S ribosomal RNA
Rfam family: Bacterial small subunit ribosomal RNA
Source: RNAcentral
CAGUCGCCACGGUAAUACAGAGGGUGCGAGCGUUAAUCGGAUUUACUGGGCGUAAAGCGUGCGUAGGCGGCUAAUUAAGUCGGAUGUGAAAUCCCCGAGCUUAACUUGGGAAUUGCAUUCGAUACUGGUUAGCUAGAGUAUGGGAGAGGAUGGUAGAAUUCCAGGUGUAGCGGUGAAAUGCGUAGAGAUCUGGAGGAAUACCGAUGGCGAAGGCAGCCAUCUGGCCUAAUACUGACGCUGAGGUACGAAAGCAUGGGGAGCAAACAGGAUUAGAUACCCCUGUAGUCCCUGUCUCUUAUAC